Molecule: unclassified non-coding RNA, 407 nt
Filed under: soil metagenome
Description: partial contains 5.8S ribosomal RNA, internal transcribed spacer 2, and large subunit ribosomal RNA
Rfam family: 5.8S ribosomal RNA (bases 1-121)
Source: RNAcentral
GAUGAAGAACGCAGCGAAAUGCGAUAAGUAAUGUGAAUUGCAGAAUUCAGUGAAUCAUCGAAUCUUUGAACGCACCUUGCGCCCUUUGGCCAUUCCGAAGGGCAUGCCUGUUUGAGUAUCAUGAACACCUCAACUCUUUAUGGUUUUCCAUGAUGAGCUUGGACUCUGGGGGUUUUGCUGGCUCACAGUCGGCUCCUCUAAAAUAAAUCAGCUUACCAGUGUUUGGUGGGUAUCAUGGGUGUGAUAACUAUCUACGCUUGUGGUUUUUCCACCAGGUAACCUUCAGCAGUGGAGGUUCGCUGGAGCUCACAGAUGUGUCUCUCCUCAGUGAGGACAGCUCUUUGAAUGUUUGAUCUCAAAUCAGGUAGGACUACCCGCUGAACUUAAGCAUAUCAAUAAGCGGAGGA